Non-coding RNA from Equus caballus (horse), 6441 nucleotides. The record is from RefSeq and is a predicted model, not a curated record. NCBI's taxonomy places the organism in Eukaryota, Metazoa, Chordata, Mammalia, Perissodactyla, Equidae.
AGAUUCUUUAUUUUAAAAAUAUUUGAUUUAAUUUUUUUCUUUUAUAAUCCUAUAUAUUUUACUUUUAAUGCAUAUGGAAACAUUAUUCUUAUAAGAGGUCCAUAACCUUCACUGGACUGCCAAACAGUUCCAUGGCACAAGGAAAGGUUAAGAAAGUCGGCCACGUUCUCAUCAGUCGGGGUCUAAGCUGUAUUCCUCUUCUGGACUCACUGCAGUCACCGUAAGUAUGACUCACCCAUCAACGAGCUGCCAAAACCGGGGACUCAACAGAACGUGGUUGCCUGGAAACAAGCCCCGUUAGAUUGUUACCUUGUUUUUAAGGAAAGAAAGCUUCAGAUGCCUAUGGAAGGCGCCUACGGAAGCUUCCUCGCUCCCACAUAUCUCAAAGACCACCCCCGAGGAUGUCCAGCCCCUACCAGAGAUCAGAGGGCACUCUGCCCUCCUCUGCACUCAUGACUUGCAUCCCGUUCACUUCAUGGUCUGCUGCAGGAGCGGGUAGGGGACCAACAGACUUUGAAAUAAUCAUAAUAAUCCUCCUUGACCUCAAAUAUUUAUUAAGUACUUCCUGCAUAAAGGACCACGUGCUGGAUGCUAUUAUAUUACAAGGAACCUCAGUUUCCUCGUGCAACCAUAAUGAUAUCUCACAUUUUAUUGCUCUUAACAAAGUACUGUCUUACUUCACAUUUAAUUCUCACACUUUUGAGGAUGAUAUUAAAAUAUUCCCCAUCUUAUACAUGAAGAAACUGAGGCUCAGAGAAGCAAGGAAGUCUGCCCGGCCCGUGGCAGAGCCAGGCCUUGACAGCGAACCCUUGGCUCCCGACAGCCUGCAGUGUGGUCUGGGGGCUUGUGCUGUGCAUGGUGCGGGGACGGCCCCUCUGAACCACAGCUGGGGACCACUUUCUCUGAUGUCCCUUGUGACCAGUGACUGGGGAUGGGUGUGGUUUCUGGUUUCUGGCCUCAUCAGGGCCCUGGCUUCCCUAAUCAGAACCAUGAGAGUGGCCCAGGGGUUAGAAAUGAUGGUGACAAUCGCCAUCUGGUGUUGUGGAAAAAUUCACGGGGUGUUCUCCCCUGUGUUCCCGGGCAUGGCUCUCUUCAUAACCUCUGGGGGAGUAAAUCCUCAGUAUGAGAGCCCACGCUGUGGCGAAUAUCCCGUAUGACGCCCCACUUCCUUUUGCUCCUCAGUUCACCUCCUAACUGCAGUUUUCAUUCCCUGAAUCUUGAUUCCUAAAUGAUUAGAUUCUGUACAUGGAUUAUCUCCAUCAAUUCUGUGUUGAUGUUGCUGAAGUGGAAGACAGUGAAUUCAGCCCGGGUCACGUUGAGUUUAAGGAGGCUCCCCGAUGAUCCAUCCACCAGGAGACGGGUCCUGGCACGCUGCACGGAGAUGUGAACACAGUGCAUUCGUCGUAGAAAUCUAAGCUACCAACCCGAUACUUCGUUGUGAACAUCGUUCUGGCUGCAGUUUUUAAAUCUGGAUGUCAAGGAAAACGAAAUCCUAUUUUUGCAGACUUCUCAACAACUUCAUACCUGAAGAAGAGUACGUGUUAAUGAUUUCAUUUAGAGAUCCUGAGGAAUGUUCCCAUUACAAAGUGUUAAGUAUUCUACCAUGAAGUGAAAAUUUAAAAAUCUAUUUGUAUUACCUUCCAAAAAUAAAACAGUGCAACCUGCGAAAUUGUAGUGUUUCUGCCUCAGAGAUACCAGAGAUGCAAUCACCAGCCGUCUUUAACCAGACCGGAGCCCCAGAACAAGAGCAGCACCCACACAGAUGAGCUGAGAGAGGCCAAGUGAGCAGCGCAAGCCAACACCCACCUCGCCCUUUGAAUGUUCGUUCCCCACCUGAAGUCAAAGGACCCUACUUCCCCAUGUGCUGGGACAGCCACAACUUUGGAAAUCACUCCACCUGGGCUCCUGUUUGCUGCGAAUAAGCUGGACAUUGUGUGACAACUACUUGUGGUGGAGAACCUGAUUUUAACUCGCCGGGGGGACCCCACUUUGGUUUGGUAACAAUAACGAGACAACCUCUUCCAAAAUCCCAUCAAUUCUCCACACCUCCACAGGCGGGAAAGCCUUGAAAAUAUAUCUGGCCCUAACAUUUUAGUGGCCAUUAUCUAAACCAUUCUAAUGUCUGCUUCUUUUCAGAAAUAACAUUAACAACCCACCCAAAUGUUUUCUUUUGAGGCUGUGUUGGCUAUCAAGUGUUAAAUAGGGAAUUUGUUGACUGAAACAAAUGUUUUGGGUCUCCUUAAAACCGUUGCCAAAACAAAUGCAGCCCUUGGCCAACUCUCCUCCAACGAAGCUGUGAUUGGAACGGAGCCGCGACUGGAACGGAGCCGCGACUGGACGGAGCUGCUUAUCCGCGAUCCAGGGCGCAGGCCCAGUUUAGGUGAAUCACCUGGGUUUUCUGCCGGGUGGCUUCAGGGGUUUCUGACCCUCCACUGGACACUGGCAGUGAGACUUUGGUGCCAAGGGCCAGGAGAAGGCACCUAGGGAGCUGUGUGGCUUGUCAUUACUGUCCAGUUUGCUGCUUCAUAACCACGGUUCUCUCUGAGAGCCUCACAGCUGUCCUUUGAAGAGGGCAAACUUGGUUGUCCCCAUCUUAAUGGUUCUUUCACAUUUUUUUUCCAGAUGUGGAAACUGAGACACUAAGAGGACACUAAGAGAAAGUAACAUGACUUUGCGUCAUCAUUUGAUUUUGUGAUUUAGAAACUCCAAGUAGAGUGAGAGGUCAUUCCCUGGGUCUCUAGAGGCUGGCUUGGCCUCCACGGCCUGUGGCCCUUCUGCGGUAAAAUGUAGGGGCACAGCCCCCUUCUCUGAGAUCUUACCUCUUUGGAUUUCCUGUGUGCUGGAGACUAUGCCAAAUUGGGGGAAAUCUACGUCUAUUACUAGGGCAAAUCUCACUUGUUCCUGAGAUGGCUCAGAGAGUUGAGGUAGGUGGUUUUAACCUUCUGGAAAAGUGUGUCUAUUUUCCCCAUCACACUGCACUAGAAGCCACAGUCACAAACUCUCUUUAUGCUAGCCUCUCCACAUUUUUUCCUUGAAACUUUCCAAACAUGCAUAACAAUAGGGAAUACAGCAUAACAAUGUGGACUAUGACAGUCCCAUGUACCCAUCCCCCACUCUUUUUUUCCUGGAUAUUUUAUAGUAAAUUUGAGGCAUCAUGAUGUUUAACACUUAAAUUCUUCAUAAGCACCUCAAAAAUUUCUUAUUGGAAAGUUAUAAUGCCACUAUCACACCUAAUAAAAUUAACAAGAAUUCCUUAGUGUCAUCUAAGUCCAUAUUCAGAUUUCCCCUUGUAUAGUUAAUUUAUUUAAAUCAAUGACCUUAUAAGUUCCACUCAUUGUAUUUGGUUGUUUGACCUCAAAGUUUUGAGUGGAGAACUCAGGGCAGAGGGUUAAGCAGCGUGGCUGUGUCAGUGUCCCAGACCCCUCCCCUCUGAACUUCACUUUUCCUUUGGAAAUUCUCUUGGGAUUCCCUUUGCCAUUACCUUAUGGGGACAUCAGUUAUACAGAGUUCCCAUUUAAAACUCUGUCGUAGUGACUAUACAAAAAAAUCCCCCCUUUCUAUAUCUUCCUUAUCACAAAUAAAGUAGGAUGGCAUCAUCAAAAAGAACAUUACAAAGACAGCAAAAGAAAAAUUGAAAUUAAUCAGCCACAGAAAGAACUCAGAGACUAUACAAAGUUAGGUUUACAAACUGUAGAUCACCGAUCCCGCAAUAGCGAACGUGAUUAACAAGCAAACAGAGCUGGUUUCUUUGCACACCCUGGGUUAAGAUACUAUAUUCUCUUCCCGGCCCCAUGUGGCUUGUCAAGAUAGCCCCCUCUCCAUGGGGCCGGGCCUUCCUAUUUCCAGCACAAGACAACAUCUAAUUGUGUAUCUUGUCCUUCCCCAAGAACAAUAUAAAAGAUUCUUCUGUCAUAAAAAUCCCCUAUCUUUGCCUGGUUCACGCCGUCCAGCCCCCCGCCUGCUAGCUCUCCAUGAUAGUUCCUGGUUUUCCAUCUGGGAGAGAAAAUCAAAUUCCCAAUCAAUUCACAAGGUAGGGAUUAUAACCACGAGCCUUUCCCACCUUAGCCUGUUGGCUCUCAGCUGUAGAGCCUUCAAUGGCAAUUUACCCUUCAGUGUCCUCACCUGUGGAAUGGGACACUGUUUCUAUCUACCUCAUAGGCUUGUUGUGGGACUGAGAUGAGAUCAUGCAUAUAAUGCCCUUAUAUUACUGUGUGGCAUAAAAUGGCAAGAGUCAAUGAAUGACAGUGAUGAUGAUGGUGAUGAUACUGAUUCCAGAGUAUUCCUCCUCCUUCCUCACUCCCCACGUCUGAUCUCAUAGGGAAGUCAUCCUGCAAAGGUCUACAAGAUAACAAUAUACUUAACAUAAGGAGGUGAAAAAGUUUCCUCUUGGGUGGAAAUAUGUAUGUGUAGGAAAAUACCAAGCUGAAAGGUAGGUAAGAUCCUAAAGUCAGUUGUGUAUAGGUGGCAAGCUAUCAGUGGAAGGGGGAGAACUCCUUUGCCACAGAGAAGGGGGAGGAAUGUCUGGUUUUUUCCCUUCUUAAGAGGUGGGGGAAGAAGAAGACAGAGGGGAAAGAAAAGAGUGGCAGGAUUGAAAAGGGCCAGGAAGACUGAGAGUGGUCAGGGAAGGACACAGAGGUGGGCACGCUGAGAACCGUGACUCUCAUUGUCCUCGGGGAAGUCAUUUGUGUUCUGUGUGCCCCUUAUCCAGUUCCCUCUCCAAAAUUUCCAAGAAAGUCUAUGAAUUUCAGAACAUUUCCUGUUUCACGUGGGAGGCGGCUUUGUGAAAGUCAGAGGAGCAUAUAUAGAGAGAGGGAUUAGGAGACAAAGGAUUUGCAGAAAUCUUGGGGAGAAUGCUCUGGAUUUCCACACGCCAUGGUUUUGGGGGUUUCGGGAAGCCCUGUCUGACAUCAAGGUCACGCUAACAGUUCAGGAGCCUUCACAUAGCGAUGAUAAAAUCUACUAUGUGGGUAGAUCCCACAGUAAAGGGGACAGUCUGGUCCCCUCAUGGUCACUGUAAUAGCAUUUACACAUUUGAGUGUGUAAUUAUCCAAUGUCCUGGGAUACAGAAUUUACUUUCCUUAUAAGGGAACCAGGCCUUUCCUAAGAUGCAUUUAUUUCAUCAAAAUUUUAGCUCAAACUAGCUGGAGAAAACAUUUGGUUCUUAUAAUAAAGAGCGAUUUUGAAACGAUCACCCUGUAAAGUCUAUAUACUAGAAUGAGGGCACUAUCCAUUAGGAGAAGAGGCAAAAUCUAUUCUAUUUCAUUCAAAUUCCACACCCCACUUCUGGCCCGGUGCUCUGGGUAACGGCAGGUGUCAUCCUGAGUGAUCUCACUCUCCCAUAUCAUGUCUCUGCUUACAAACGUGUCACCUUUCACAUAGAGGGAUAAUGUCACUGACUCAGCCUUGCUGGGACUGACCACUGGCUUCAUCUUCUAAUCCUAGGGCUUGACUGGCGCUGCUCCACCUGCACCUGGCUGCACGGUCAGCAGGCACCUGUGUUGCCCGCAGCCACAAAGGGCAAGGAAAGACAGGCCCAGAGUUCCCUAGGAUGGAGCGGCUGUGGAUGGUGGCAUGCAUCUGGAAACUCCACUCUAAACCAGGCCUAGGCUCUGCCUGAGGCUGCCCAGAACUUUCCUGGUGGCCUGAGAGCAGCUGCAGAUGGACAGGCCCGGCAGGAGUUGCACAGAGAACAUCCCUACAGUGAAUCUUUGCCCAGAGGAGCCUGAGCACAGGAUGCCAGGGCAGCGCCUUGUGGGGUCUUGAGAUGGGGGAACCGCGAGCAAGAGCGGGACGCGAGGCAAAGUAAAAGGCGUAGCAGAGCCCGCCGCCAGGGACGUCAUUCGCUGGGUGGCCAUCAUGAAGUAUCAGACUGCCGGGCUGAAACACGCGUGUUUCCUCCGUCUGGAGGCUCGGAGUGCGAGACCCAGGCGGCGCAGGUUUGGUUUCUCCGAGGCCCGUCUCCUGGGUUGCAGAUGGCCGCCUGCUCCGCGUGUCCUCACGUGGUCUUCCCUCUGUGUCUGUCUGUCCCCACCUUCUUAUAAGGACACGUCGGAUUAGGGCCCACCCUCAUGACCUCAUUUUAACCUACUUACCUCUCUGGGCCCUACCUUCAGAUAGAGUCACACUCUGAGGUUCUAGGGGUUAGGACUCAACAUGCGAGUCUGGCGGGGACACGGCUCACCCCAGAACCACCAGCGAGAGUCAGGAAGCCUGUGAGCUGGUGGCACGCGGGGGACCCGCACCUGCCCACGCAGGCCCGGCGGCCGGCUGGAGACCCCCGCGGGCCAGCGUGACCCUCCGGAGCUCCGGGCGCGGGCUCGUGGGGAGCCGCGGGGCCGCCUCCUCUCUUCGUGGGGCUGCUGCACACGGUCUCUCAGCGCCUCGGGCCCGUCCCCGAACCUGCGAGCCUGCGGGGGCGGCCCUCCCCGUGGGAGCGGGGGC